UACGUAGGGUGCGAGCGUUGUCCGGAAUUAUUGGGCGUAAAGAGCUCGUAGGCGGUUUGUCGCGUCGGCCGUGAAAUCUCCACGCUUAACGUGGAGCGUGCGGUCGAUACGGGCAGACUUGAGUUCGGCAGGGGAGACUGGAAUUCCUGGUGUAGCGGUGAAAUGCGCAGAUAUCAGGAGGAACACCGGUGGCGAAGGCGGGUCUCUGGGCCGAUACUGACGCUGAGGAGCGAAAGCGUGGGGAGCGAACAGG
This 253-nucleotide ribosomal RNA is filed under the name uncultured bacterium. RNAcentral's name for it is "partial 16S ribosomal RNA". It matches the Rfam family "Bacterial small subunit ribosomal RNA", at positions 524 to 776 of the family's 1533-position model. The record is from RNAcentral.